AUACGGAGGGUGCAAGCGUUAUCCGGAAUCAUUGGGUUUAAAGGGUCCGCAGGCGGAUUAAUAAGUCAGUGGUGAAAUCCUCUCGCUCAACGAGAGAACUGCCAUUGAAACUGUUAGUCUUGAAUUCGGUCGAAGUAGGCGGAAUGUGUCAUGUAGCGGUGAAAUGCAUAGAUAUGACACAGAACACCGAUAGCGAAGGCAGCUUACUAGACCUGGAUUGACGCUCAUGGACGAAAGCGUGGGGAGCGAACAGAAUUAGAAACCCGAGUAGUCC
Molecule: ribosomal RNA, 274 nt
Filed under: uncultured bacterium
Lineage: Bacteria
Description: partial 16S ribosomal RNA
Rfam family: Bacterial small subunit ribosomal RNA
Source: RNAcentral